AAGGCAAAAGAGAGCUUGAUUGCAAGACAUACAGGUCGAGCAAGGAUGAAAAUCGGACUUAGUGAUCCGGUGGUUCUGCGUGGAAGGGCCAUCGCUCAACGGAUAAAAGCUACCCUGGGGAUAACAGGCUUAUCUCCCCCAAGAGUCCACAUCGACGGGGAGGUUUGGCACCUCGAUGUCGGCUCAUCACAUCCUGGGGCUGUAGUAGGUCCCAAGGGUUGGGCUGUUCGCCCAUUAAAGUGGUACGCGAGCUGGGUUCAGAACGUCGUGAGACAGUUCGGUCCCUAUCCGUCGCAGGCGUAGGAAAUUUGAGAAGACCUGUUCUUAGUACGAGAGGACCGGGAUGGACGUACCUCUGGUGUACCAGUUGUUCUGCCAAGGGCAUGGCUGGGUAGCUAUGUACGGAAUGGAUAAGCGCUGAAAGCAUCUAAGCGCGAAGCCAACUUCAAGAUAAGAUUUCCCACCGCAAGGGUAAGACCCCAGAAAGACUAUCUGGUUGAUAGGUCGAAGGUGUAAGUGCAGCAAUGUAUUUAGCUUAUCGAUACUAAUAGGUCGAGGACUUGACCAAUAUUUAUUUGAUGUUCAUUCAUUAAGAUAUAUGUGUAGUUUUUAGAGUGUUAACUUUUAAAAAUUAGUUUUACUAAUUUACAAUAAAAUAGGUGUGCUGGUGUGGCUCAACGGUAGAGCAGCUGACUUGUAAUCAGCAGGUUGUAGGUUCGAUUCCUAUCACCAGCUCCAGUAAAGACUAUGUUUUUAGCAUAGUCUUUUUUUAUUGUUUUUUAUUGUUUGAUGUAUUUGUUAUUUUGUAUUAAAUACUUUUAGUGGUCUAAUUUAUAAAUUAUAGGUAUAAAAGAUGACACAGUUUAAAAUUAUUGUUUUAAACUGUGUCUGUGAGUUUUAAAUCAAUCUACCAUGAAUCACCAUUCUGGCAUCAUCAAAUUCAUAGGUACAUGUAGAAAGUGUAACUAUUUUAUCAUUGCUAUUUACCUUAAUAGGAGAUUUAUACAAUGAUUUAGAAGUAAUAUCAUUUAUGUAAUUUUGAUAAUCAGAUUCAUUAUUAAAAUUUGUUUUUAGAUAAUCAUAAUCAGAUUCUACAAUAUAAGCAGAAAAAACAUCAUAUAAAAAUUCUUUUCCAUUCAAGGUUAUUUUUAUUUUAUUAUUUUUUUUAAAGAAGUCAGCAUCUUUAAACUUAUUUAGGUUGUUGAACAUAGUUUUAUUUUUCAUAUUAUGUCCAUAUAUUAUGAUAUUUUUGUCAUCAAUAGAUUUAUUUCUAUAAUCCAUAAACAGUGUACCAGAAAUAGAAUCUUUUUUAUAAAAAUCUUUGUCAAGAUAGUAAGAAUUAUCUUUAGAUUGUACAACUGGAUAAUUUAUAUUUGUAUUCUCAACAGAAAGCCAAAAUUUAAAAUCACUGUUAAUCUUUGAUAAAUCCUCUUUUUUAUAUUCUUUUUUUUGAAGUUCUGAGGAUAUUUUAGUAUCAUGAUUGUAUUUGGUAAGUUUUGAGUAUAUAUUAAAUCCACUGUAAAGUAUUACUAAUACUAGUAUAAUGUUAAUUACUAUUCUAUAUAAUUUUUUCAAUAUAUCACCUCGAGUUAAAUGUAGUUUAUAUAUCUAUAUUACACUAUUUUUGAAUAAAUUUAAAUUUUUAGUAUAAUAUUACUUUGACAUGUAAAAGAAUUUGUGUUAACAUAACUAAGUAAAAUAAAUAUUAAGUAAGCCAGAUAAUCG
Molecule: ribosomal RNA, 1725 nt
Filed under: Clostridioides difficile P50
Lineage: Bacteria; Bacillati; Bacillota; Clostridia; Peptostreptococcales; Peptostreptococcaceae
Description: partial 16S ribosomal RNA
Rfam family: Bacterial large subunit ribosomal RNA (bases 1-568)
Source: RNAcentral